Long non-coding RNA from Trachemys scripta elegans, 9273 nucleotides. RefSeq lists it as uncharacterized. The record is from RefSeq and is a predicted model, not a curated record. The transcript is spliced from 2 exons. NCBI's taxonomy places the organism in Eukaryota, Metazoa, Chordata, Testudines, Emydidae.
GUAGUUUUUAAGUGAGAUGAAACUUAGGCGUAUGCAAGACAAAUCAGACUCCUGAAAGGGGUACAGUAGUCUGGAAAGGUUGAGAACCACUGCUAUAUAUCAAAGGCAGCAAAAAAAGAGAACAAGUCCAACUUUUCUCCCUUUACAGGUCACCUCUAAUUUACAUAAUCCAGUUAUGACUUGUUACAUAGUACUUGAAUAAUUUCUGCUGUUUAGAAUAUUCUUGUUUUGUUUUACCUGUCCUUAGCUUACACACCUCUACCACGAUAUAACGCGACCCAAUAUAACACGAAUUCGGAUAUAACGUGGUAAAGCAGUACUCCGGGGGGGGGGCUGCGCACUCCGGUGGAUCAAAGCAAGUUCGAUAUAACACGGUUUCACCUAUAACGCGGUAAGAUUUUUUGGCUCCCGAGGACAGCGUUAUAUCGAGGUAGAGGUGUACUUACUGUAUUUGUUGAUACUGAAAUUCUGCAUAUGUUGCUAGUUUACUCAAGUCAUUUAAUCCUUCCUUUAUAUUGACUGUUCCUACCUCCAGUUUUGUAUUAUCAGUUUAUUGUAUACUCUUUCAUUCAUGAUCCCAAUGAUGAUGUCUUUUUCUGAUAUCUAAGGUUCUGGCCCUGCAAUCAAAUCCAUGCAGGUGAACCUCUGAAGUUAGGGUCCACCCACAUACUGUAGAUCCAAUUGCAGGAACAGGGGGCCAAACUUAGUAUUUGGUUAACACAUUGUAAAUUAGUUGUUUGUAUCAAAAUAUUUGUUUAAAUCCUAAAUAAAUUAUGACCAUAUCUUCUGCUGAUAGACUGUGUCACUUGGUCAAGGAAUUCUUUUGCACUUGACGAUAGGAAUGAUCACCUUCUGAAUCCACAUCAGCUUUCUUUAGAUGGGGGUUUAUUUGCAUAACAAAGUUGCAGGAGGACCAGUUUUCAAAGAGAGAUGUUGGUGGGGCCAAAAACAGGCUGACUGUAAAGGCCUCCUGAAGCCAGCAAGUAUUAGGUCAUGCAGCUGGCUCAAACAACAGUUUAGCGACCUGAUCCAAAGCCCAUUGAAAAUGGGUAGGAAUCCUUCAAUCGACUUCGAUAACCUUGAGAUCUGGUUCUAGCUGAGGAAGUCACAAAAAGGAUCCCUCUGCUGGUAAGAGUCAACAGGAAGGGCUGUUGGGCAGGAACACAGCAUUGGUGCCCAGAAGACAACCACGUGUCCAGUGAAAAGUUGCUGUUUGAGCAGGAAGUUUGCAACCAGUGAGCAGUACUUUGGGUCAGGGACUAUCUUUUUGGAUAAUUCGGAUAAUAAUCAUAAUAAAAUAUUGAAAGGUCAGAAAAGCACCACCUCAGUAUUCAGACUGCCAUCGGUUUCUAGGUACUUGGACGCUCCCCAUCCUAGAAUUAUCUGAGUGUCAGAAGGCAGCCAAGGGAAGUGGCCUGGUAAAUAAAGCUCAUGAAGGAGCUCUGUCUGCAAGGAAAAUCCCAGUUAAGGUAAUGGAACUUGAAAGGCUCUUUUGCUUUAAAGGACACUUGCUUUUUAGAAGGGUAGAUUGCUGUUCUGAAUAGAUAAGGCAGUUGCGAAAGUACUAACCUCUAUCUCUUGCUAGCCAACAAGGGCCAUGACUAUUAGCAAGUAGGUCAAGGAGAACGCUAGCAUUUGGAGCAAGCCACUGGCAAGGUUGACCCAUGUCUCAAGUGGGUAGCCCUACAGCUGAUUAAGAACACCAUUUUUUCCAUUUGAUCUAUUCAGACUCAACGAGGGGCUGGCCAAGAGGCAGGAAAAAUCAAAGUCCACUGGGCCCCAGGAAAUUAGCAAACCAGAAUGAGAAGAUGGGUUUGCACCAGUUCCCGGGAUACUAUCUGCAUUUGGCUGGAGGUCAAUGUGAGGUAACCCAUGUGGACAUAACAUGAAAGUCAUCAGGAGAAUAGCUAUCCAAGACAUGUAUCCAGACACUAGUGCACACAGUACUACAUUGUUUUCACAAACCAGAUUUUGACCCUUAGCCAGCAUAAGUGACAGAUCUCCAAAGAAUAGGACCAUCAGAGACUCUGUGAUUCAGACUCUAUAUAUUGUAAAUAAAGGGACUGACUAUCAUCUGGGACAUUAGUGAACUGCCAGGGGCUGAAACAUUCCUUAGUAUUUUAAAACAGUUGAGCCAGGACAAGUUUUGUUCCCUUUUACUUAGUAGUUUCUUUUUUACCAAGGAGAAGUAACUAUUCAAAGUUUAGUUUGCUAUUUACAUUUUAAUUUUUUAUUCAUCCUGUUGCCUGGCUUUUGAUUCUGUAUGAAUACAUGUAAAUAAAGAGUACAUUAGUUAUUUUCCUCUAAAAUUUGAGCAGCUUUAUUAUUUAAUUAGUAGGCAGAAUAAGUUAUCAAAGUAACAUCAGAUAAUACAAAGCAGCAUUUUGUUUUCUACAAAGAGAAAGCGGUCAUAUACUCCUUUCACUUUCUGGACAAAGCAAGAACAUUUUUAUUGGUGGCAGGGAGAAAAAACCUGUACUUUAAUAUCCUGACUUCUGUGAUCUCACCUGUCAACCAUUCAUUUCACCUUGUAAUCUCCACUUUACUAAACUAACAAAUCUAAUUUUUCUCACUUCCUGGAAGUUAACCUCUGGGCUCCUUAUUAUCCACAUUGCUUUCUCUUUACUUUUUCAAUUUGUACCCUCCAACGUUAUCACAAUGGACUGUAUUCUUAAUAGGACCUGAUCCUACAAACUACCAGGCCCAACAUAUACUGCUGCAAAUGAAUAUACACCAGGUAAAGUGUUUGCUGGAAAAGGUCCAUAAUUGUGGCUCCCAUUGUCAACAGUGUUCAUCAGAUGAUCCUUCUACCCUCCACAUAAGAACAGCAUCGGAAUAAAGAAAUAGUGGAGACUUACCUGCUGGAAAAAUUCAUCUCUUGUUAUUUUACAUAGAGUCUGGCAAACCUCGUUUCUUCUCCAUUUCUUCACCUUCUAAUAAGAAGAGUUUUUUUUAUGUUAAGUGGUAUUGAUUCCAUGGAAAGAAUUUAAACCUUCUCAAUCAUGAAAGCAGACGAGCCCUUCCUCUGCUAGAAAAUACCAGUGAAAUGGUCCCACAUGAUAAAAGAAAACACAUUAAAAGGAGAAUUCAACCAGUAGGUGCCAGGAAGGGGUGGAAUCUGAAAGUGAAACAAGCCUAACAUUUCUGCAGGGAGAAGAUUAAACAGUAAGUUUCUAGGAGUUUUAAAUACUUUGCAAUGGAGCUUAGUACGCAAUAGGCACUGUAAGAAAAAAAAUUAGGUCUUUUUUUGUUAUACACAUGUAUAUUGUAACACUGGAGUACAAUCAAAUGAGGGCCAGCCACUCACAUGACGGCCUCCAUUUUAAAAGUCCAGCUUUCCAAAUCAACAAAUGGUGCUGGAAGAGACUGGGUCGUGGAGACAAAGGUAAAAACUGAGGUUACCAAUCAAUUGGAGACUUUUCUCUGGUCAUAUGAAUAAACUAGUUAACUUUCAAACUGACGUCUCUUGUAGAAUCAUUGGAUUACCUCAUUUCUCCUCCCAAACACUGAUAAUACUGAAAGUUGUGCGUGGUGCCCUAGGUAUGACCUUAGUAGACAUUUUUACAGCUGCUUCUGAUAUGUGUUUUUUCCCUGCCAUUUAUAAAUUCCAUUGUUCUAUGAAUUUUCCUAUUUGUACGGAACAGUGAACUGAGGGUUUUAUUUUCUAUCCAGUAUCAACUACAGUUCCUUUUCUUGAACAGUUCCUUGGAGCUUGUGACCCUUUAGGCCCCGAUCUUGCAAAUUGAUCUGUACAGGUGCAGAGAUCCACCCAUGUGGAGCAGCUUGCAGGUUUAGGGCCUUAAUGUAUAAACCUUUUGCUAUUUUCACUACUUUCUUCAUAACUUUUUUUAUAUAUUUAUAUAUAUAUAAAUAAAGGGACCAGGAAAGGGAAUAGGGUUUGUGCCCUUUUUUGCUUCUUUAUGAUUUAUAAAGUAGGCUGAAGGGGUUGGGUUGGAGGAGAAGUUAAGGAUUUAAAAAAAAAAAAAAACCCAAUGGAAGAAACAUUAUUAAUUCAUAUGUCUACCCUAUUUUCCCUGCAAAAUAGUGACAACCAGGUUUACAAUCACCAUAAAUACCAAGAAAUACCUGACAGAGGUUGGCAAAUUCAGUUGACUGUGUAAAAUACUGGGGUCCAUCAAAGUUAACUAGGUGGUAAUAAAAACAGCUCUCUUACUUAGAAACAUCUAGCAGGAAAAUACAACAUCCUUCUACUCCCCCACUUAAGGACUGAAAAUAUCACAUCCGAGAGACUUAAAAACAACAACAAAACUUCACACUGAUCUUGGUAAAGUAAAACACUUACUGAAUUAAAAAACCCUAGCCAACCUCAGACCUUCUGUGUGCAUUGUUUAUUAAAAUAAUACAAUAAAAACCACCUCUCCCCUACCACUAUUGUAGAUCACCAUUGACUAGGUGACUACUUCUCAGACCAUGCGCCAGUUUACUCCCAGUCAUUUUAAACUGGUCCUAUUUCAGCAUUAUUUGCCAGCCUUCCCAGUAUAAUAUCAUUCUCAAAUGUCUGUACUUUCUGCAGGUCCUCUUCUAUUCCUAAAAAUUAAUAGGAGUGAGAACGAUUCUGUAUUAUUUUCUAAAAAUAUUUUUCAAUGUAUUGCUUCUCUUUCUUGAGGCCAGAUUAAUCUAGAUUAUUGAAGUACUACUUUGUUUUCAUAAAUUUAAAAACACCCUCCAAAAUGACAACAUUCUUCCUAGGACUAUGUCGUCAGUUAAUUGCAAAUUAAGAGUGAAAUCCUGGUCUAAUUGACUUCAAUGGCAGAACUCCCAGAGACAUCAAUGGGGACAGGAUUUAAUCUCAGAAUCCAGAUCCCACAAACACUUUUGCACAUGCUGAACUCUACUCAUGCAAGUAUCCCAUCAAAGUCAAUGGGAUACUUGAGUGUUUAAAGUUAAGCAUUGGCAUGAAUGUUUGCAGGAUCAGGACACAUUUUCAAUACAUCCUUUAUUCCAUAAUUCUAAAGUCUGAUUUUCGAUAGCAUAAAUUGCACUUAGGAAGAUUGGGAAUCCUGCACAUAAACUGCCUUGUACAAAAUUUGACCGUUAACAUUGGGUAUGUUUCCCUAGAAUGGUUUAAUCUAUCUAUGGGCAUAGUUGGGGAGGUGCAGGGUGGGUGUUUCUCCCCCAUACUGCCCUCCCCCAAUGUGCCCCAUUAGCCUGAAUGGAACUGCCCCUCCAAAUAUUGAAGUCAAACUACACCUGUGAAUCUAUCCUUUCCUCCUUCACAUCCCGCCCCCAAAAAAGAAGUUAGUGCUCUUUAUUUUUUGUGCACAUGCUACAAGGUUUUUGUUUGUCAGAUUUCUAGUGUAUACCUGUCUAAUUCAGAAUAUGGCAGGUUUGUUUGUUUUUUAAAGGGAGGAGAACAUCUAUCCUUGAAAUCAGCAACUUUUUCAAAGUAGCCUUAUCCUACAAUAUGCUAAGAAUGGGUGAAGCUUGGCCAGACUUUUGAGAUCCUGUUCUUAAAUAAUUCCUGGUUCCUCACACCUGAUGAACUGAAACCUGAGAUGGCAGGAAUGACAAAAGUUCUAUCAAAAUCAGCCACAGUUGCAGGAAAUUUAGAGGUCUGGGAUGGUCUCACCAUAUCCUAACUGAUGAUUCCUAGCCAGUGGUCUAAAGGGGGUGGGGGAAUUCCAAGAUCCCCAUUUCCCAGGGAAUCUGGGCAAUUCUUUCUUGCUCUCCAGUCUCGAAUUAGUUUAAUAUUGUUUAUGUUAGCAAGAUUCACUGUAGUUAAACAUCUAAUCCCAUUUGUAAUCUGGCAUACUAUUCUUGUCCAACGGCUCUAUCAUCCUCUGCAAGAGAGAUUCCUACACAGCAAUGUACAACUGCCUGCUUUUAAUUUCCUAUGAUUUUUUCCAUGCAGAGUUUGGUUUGCCCAUAUAGAAGAUGUAGCAGAAGAGGAACAGCUCAGACUCUCUGGGAUGAACUCAGCCCUUAGAAUGCAGCAAUUGUUACAGCAGGGUGGAGUGGGUAAUCCAGCUUUCCCACCCCAGGGCUCCAGCAGGAAGUCCAUAAGGUCAUCAUAAACUCAGUGAUCUCCCCCUCAACCCCCAGCCGUAGGAACGGACAGAGAAGCAGCUCAGACUCCCAGAACUGCUACAGCAAGUUAUGGGGAGGGAUACAACACCCAGAACAUCACCAUGCUGGACCUCUACUCCUGUAGGGUGCAAUUUGGAGGCUUCUCUGGCCCCUCCCAUGCUUCCAAGCUCUAGGAUUUAGAGGAUGUCCCAUUCUUCAGGGGGCAGCAUGUGUCCCUUGGCACCAGUGCUCUCCUAGGCUAUCAGAAGUGACAACUCCCAGAUAGAUGUGGUAGUCAUGCACUUUUGGAACCUGGGAGUGAGGCAGUCUCCUGUCUUAGAUGGCAGCUCCAAAGGUACCAGUACUGUCACGGGAUGGAAAUUCUUUGAGGAGAUGGGCAUUUGGAGUGGGAAUGUGGGACUUUAAGGAUGGGAGUGUUUGAGUAACUUCAGUUGUUGUAUGUUGUCACUGUGUAUUUGAGUUGCUCUCUGGGAACUGACAGGUGUGUUUAUUUUAGUGCAUUUUCUGAAAGCUGUCAAGCGUUCCCAAGAUGGCUGCUCUUUUAUAACAGCUUGUAUAAACCUUAAUAAAAGACACUAGCCUGCUUCUUUGUCACCAGGUUCCAACACAGGCCAGAACUAACAGGUGCUUUUCAACUCCAGUUAGGAGUGUGUCCCCUCUAUGAUGUUCUCUGAUCUAUCCGGGAUUCCAGAGGAGAAAUUGUGAAAAAUGCACAAUCAAGACUGCAUACUGUAAAACUUAGAAUUCUAAGUACACAGUCCCCCAACACGUACUUUAAUGCUUGCUUUUUGCUAUAUCCAUUUCUUUCCUCUUCUUGAGUCAGGGCAUGUUUGAUGGGGUGACUGAUUUUGUUUAGUUAAUUUCUGCAGGCUUGCUUUGCCAUCAAGUGCUUACAGGACGGAGGAACGGUCUUAACUAUUGCACUUCAAUAUUCACAGUCUCUUCUGGGUGGCUCUGCCUUCCCCCACCCCCACGCUAUCCACAGUAACUUAUCUUUAAUCUACAACUAUCUUCUACCCUGUACACUUCAGACCCUCCUUUGCUUGGCAUGCUCACCUCUCUAAAAAUAUCAUCCAUGAACUUUUUAUUCUUCGUAACAUUGUGUAGCAAGGAAAGUUGGCUCUCAAGAUCAGCAAUCUUGCUCUUAGCUGCUCAGGAAAUAAAUGCACAUAUACUCCCUUGGAUACCAGCCCCACAUCUACCACUCCUCAGUCCUUCAGACCCUGCACAAAAGAAAGAAAUAAUGAAAGAAUUUGGCAGCCAAAUCCCACUAUUUCUCCCUACUUCUGAAAAGAUUAAUUGUAAGAAAAAGAGCAGUGUUCAUUUUUGACAGUGCAACAGAAGUUAGGUACUGUGUGGCAUUAUUACCCCUCUUGCUGUUAUACACGUAUGAUGUUAGUCGGAGAUGCUCUUAUGAAUUUUUGAUUGUUUUUCUUUAGUCUUUUGUUGCUGAGAGAAUAAUAAUUAUCUGGCACAAAUAGGAAUCUCCAUGUCUCCAAGCAAUGAAAUUAGGUUACAAUCUUCUAAACCAGUUACAUUUUGUAAUUUUAUGGAAAAAUAAAUAUCCAUCCUUUUCCGCAUAUUGUAGCUAUCUUUCCCUGGUUUUUAAAACAGGUCUAAAAUAAUUUAGAAGAGUAGGUCUCUUUUUCCACUCUGUCAUUCAGCAGUUAAGGGUGUAAGAAAUUAUAGUCUGUGCUCAUGUUGAACAGUAGAUAUGUAAUUUAACAAAUGAACUUUCAUUUUAGCACAUUUUAGGUUAAAUACUACCAUAAAACCAUAGAUAUUUAGCAGUAUUACAUUUUUUUAGUGACACUAAGGUUAGUCACUGGAGCCAUUAUAUUCUCAGAUAAAUGAUAAUCACUCUAGUAUUAUUACUAGAAAGACAAACAUGCAUAAUAAAAUUAGUCAAUUAAAUCUGCAAGUUAAUUUUAUGCAGGAGGGGACAAUGCAUUUUCUGAAGUGCUGCUUUCUUCCAAGGAACUAAGGCCCCAGGUCAGUGGGACCUCAGCAUGGACUUAAAAGUUAAACACAUGCUUAAGUGCUCUCCUGAAUUGGGGUCUAAAUCCUUAUGAUUCUCUAGUCUGCUAUAAUGUCAAUAGUGAACCAGGCAAUGCUAGAUCACUUCAUACAAGUCAAGAGAUUAAUCACUUAUUUGCAAGAAAUGAAAAAGCACCACUCAGAAGUGGCUUUCAAGAAGUCAUAUAUAAAACCAUUUCUUGGUUGUUCCACAAAACCUUGUCAGCUGCCUUUUUUGUUGAUUUUGGGGAAAGUAACUUACCAUUAAAAAGAAUUAAUGGUACUAACUGACUUCUGAAAAAAAACAACUCAGCCAGAUAUUGCUCUGGUCUAAUAGAAAUCAAUAAGAAUUAAAAAUGUUAAUCGAGUAUUUCCCACAGGCAGGCUGAUGGAGUUGUCUGUAGCACUUUGUUUAGCACCAGCCAAUCACACAUCAAAAAAUUGGAAGCCAGGAUGAUAAUGAGCUAAGUCCUAUACAUUUCUUCCAUUUUCUCAUUGAAUCAACCAUCAUUUGUCCAAAUUCAGUUUGGUCAUCAGUAUAAAUACUCAAUCAAGAAACACAGAAGACAUUUCAAUAGACACCCAACACUGAGUCUAGGCCAGUGGUUUCCUAGGGAAAGAUGAUGAAACUUGUAGAGUAUCUCACAUUUCCUGUUGUAAUUUUAUAUAAAAUUGUUUCAGAUGUAUUGUAUGGAGAUACAAAUCUGAGCACUUCCAACUGCUGAAAACACAGGCAUCUUCACUGUUGCAACUAACCCUGCCUGAAGACAAUUAUUUUCAUGUUUACAGCUUGCAGGAUGAAGUAUUGUCAUCUCUCUUGACAUAUUACUAUUGAACAAGACCAACACUUCAGAUCUCCAGAAGUGUUUAUUAUCAAAGCAAUGACCUAAGAUUUCAAACUACCAUAGUUUCUGAGCACCUCACACCCUUAAUGGAUUUUAUCCUCAAAACACUCAUGUGAGAGAGGGAGAGUAUUAUCCCCAUUUCACAGAUGGGGAACUGAGGCACAGGUGAAGAUGAAGGGGCUAGUCCCAGGUCACACAGGAAGAUUUGUGGCAAUUGAACCCAGGUCUCUCAAGUCCCAGUCCAGCACUCACUAGAUCAUCCUUCCUGACCCACAUAGAAACACCUUAGUUAACACAAGUUAAUAGAGGAGUUGUACUUCCAUUGUUAUUUGGUUAUGUUUAAUAAAAUACAUUUCAAAAUAAA